CCCACUCUUCCAUUCCACAGACCUCAAAACCCUAGACUCCCCAACCGCAGCCGAAACCACACUCCGAGUCUCCAUCAAUUUUAUUCUCUUAAGUGCUGCUGAGGUAACCUAAGCCUAUGUAUGAAACCAAGAAGGGGAAUGCGGAGAUGAAAUCAUAAAGGUUUUGGUUUUAGAAAGUGUCGAGGCUUCAAGGCGUUUAGGUGUGAAAGCUGAGUUGCAAGACGAGAGCUUUAUGCAUGUGAGACGUUACUAUAUGUAUCACCAAAAGCUCUAUUUCUCAAUGCUUUUGAACAUCACCUUUUUUGAUGAAGUAAACGUUCAUAAUCUAUUCAUCCUUUCGACCCGACUUUGACCCAUAUGUGCAUUUAGCUCCGCCUUAAGGCCUCAAGAUAAUUUUCUGAACUUGGUUUUUGAAAACCAAGAUAGAGCUAGAAAAUGGACCUGUAGACCCUGUGUGUUUGUUCAUCGCUCAUGUAUGAACUUGUGGAGCCUUGUACAAUGCAUAACUUGUCACACGUGUUGAAGCUAGUGACUUGACUUGGGUUGCAUGAUGAGACAUUGAUGUGAAACUUGAAGGUGAAAAUAUCGUUAAGGCCAGGGGGUGUGACGAAACAAUGGAACAUGCAUUCAAUUCUUGUUUUGUGGCGCCGGUUAUUUGGAGGUAAGCACAUGGUGUAAAUUACAUCCCAUAUUUGCUUUCUCGAUUAAGGACUGAUUCGGCCUACAUGAGCAUGCAUCGGACAAGCCUUUCAAAAGAAAAUGUGUUCAUGUUGCUAUUAUGACUACAAUGUGGAGCUUAUGGCAUGCUAGAAACAACCUAAUUUUCUCUAAUGUCCCAGUGAAGAUUCAUGAUAUCGUGGGAGAGAUUAGAGAUCAGCAAUCAGCUUUUUGUGUCGCUCUAAGUCGGCUUGUUUAGAUUGAUUUAAAUGGAAGUCGUUUGAUGUAUAAUCGUCUUAUAUUUCAGUUAUUCAUAACCAAAUGUAAAACUAUAGGAUGGAAAAACUAACCAAAAGAGCGAACAACACUGAAAAACGUCAACCUCGCCGUAACGCGUGGGUCUCCUGUAAAUCCAUCAUAAAUGGUAUAAUUAAGUAAAAACUUGUGUAGACAUGUUAUACGUCAUUUGUUAUAUAUUUCUUUUCAAACCUAAAUUUUA
This 1156-nucleotide long non-coding RNA is filed under the name Helianthus annuus (common sunflower). Lineage: Eukaryota; Viridiplantae; Streptophyta; Magnoliopsida; Asterales; Asteraceae. The record is from RNAcentral.